GAGAAACCGUAUGUGUCGAGAAGUGCACGUACGGUUCGGAGGCAAGCACACAAAAACCUGCCGCUACCGGUAAGGCAUUGUGUGCUUAGCCUAC
Molecule: unclassified non-coding RNA, 94 nt
Filed under: Sporomusa acidovorans
Lineage: Bacteria; Bacillati; Bacillota; Negativicutes; Selenomonadales; Sporomusaceae
Source: RNAcentral